UACAGAGGUCUCAAGCGUUGUUCGGAUUCAUUGGGCGUAAAGGGUGCGUAGGUGGCGCUGUAAGUCGGGUGUGAAAUUUCGGAGCUUAACUCCGAAACUGCAUUCGAUACUGCGGUGCUUGAGGACUGGAGAGGAGACUGGAAUUCCUGGUGUAGCGGUGAAAUGCGCAGAUAUCAGGAGGAACACCGGUGGCGAAGGCGGAUCUCUGGGCCAUUACUGACGCUGAGGAGCGAAAGCGUGGGGGAGCGAACAGG
Molecule: ribosomal RNA, 254 nt
Filed under: uncultured bacterium
Lineage: Bacteria
Description: partial 16S ribosomal RNA
Rfam family: Bacterial small subunit ribosomal RNA
Source: RNAcentral